This 567-nucleotide unclassified non-coding RNA is filed under the name Bombus terrestris (buff-tailed bumblebee). RNAcentral's name for it is "misc RNA ENSBTSG00005038956.1". Lineage: Eukaryota; Metazoa; Arthropoda; Insecta; Hymenoptera; Apidae. The record is from RNAcentral.
ACCCGUCGUCGUAUCAAACAGGCAGGAAAAAGGCUCCAAUCAAGCGAUUCAGUCAACGAACGCUUGUUUACCGCAUAGUUCGACAGGAAAACAGAGUAGAAAAACAACGGGCUAUACAAAAAGAUGGGGGAGAGGGAAUGUUGGAAAAUGGUGGAAUCUCGAGGAGGCGCAUAAAAGGAGUAGCGUACACAAGUUUCACUAAUCAAUAUCAGGAGAUGUUACAUGGGAAAUUAUUGCCUCUCAUAACCGAAAUAGAAGACAAAAAGACAAUUUUUCAUGAAAAGAAUGCUCUUAUUCGCACAGCCAUCACUACAAAAAAUUUCAAGAUAGAAUUAUUACUGUGACCAGCAUCGAGUCCUGAUCUGAAUCCGAUCGAGAACUUGCGAGAAAUUCUAACAAGAAAAGUUUACGAUCACGAAAAGCCAUCUAUAGAAAAUAUCGUUGAAUUUGAAAAAAAGAUCAAAAUUGAAAUUGAAAUUGAAAUUGAAAUCGAAAUCGGAAAAAGAAUAAAAUCCGUGUGGGUGGAUAUUCAAAACGAAACGGUAAAUAAGCUAAUGGAGUGUACCU